UGCGGGGUAGAGCAGAGGCAGCUCGUCGGGCUCAUAACCCGGAGGUCACACGUUCGAAUCGUGUCCCCGCUA
This 72-nucleotide transfer RNA is filed under the name Anaerolineales bacterium. Its description in RNAcentral is "tRNA-Met". It matches the Rfam family "tRNA". Rfam says of the family: Transfer RNA (tRNA) molecules are approximately 80 nucleotides in length. Their secondary structure includes four short double-helical elements and three loops (D, anti-codon, and T loops). The record is from RNAcentral. Lineage: Bacteria; Bacillati; Chloroflexota; Anaerolineae; Anaerolineales.